GUGUGUAAUUUUCUAUCAGAGUGAAGAAGCUUUGGUAAAAAGGGGGACAAGAAGACCCUAUUGAGCUUUACUUUAGGUUUUUAGUAGUAUUAACUAAAAUUUAAAAGUUGAACUGGGGCGGUUAAGGAAGAAGAAAUCUUCCUUUAUUUUUGUUUGUUAAAUUUUUUGAUCCAAGGUUUUUGAUAAAAAGACUAAGUUACCAUAGGGAUAACAGCGUAAUUUUUUUGGAGAGUUCUUAUUGAUAAAAAAGUUUGCGACCUCGAUGUUGACUUUUAAUAGCUUUUUGGCGCAGAAGCCAAGAUGGUGGGUCUGUUCGACCUUUAAAAUUAA
Molecule: ribosomal RNA, 330 nt
Filed under: Nemertea sp. RCMBAR929
Lineage: Eukaryota; Metazoa; Nemertea
Description: partial 16S ribosomal RNA
Rfam family: Bacterial large subunit ribosomal RNA
Source: RNAcentral